This 1775-nucleotide long non-coding RNA is filed under the name Heterocephalus glaber (naked mole-rat). RNAcentral describes it as "lncRNA (ENSHGLG00000049488.1)". Lineage: Eukaryota; Metazoa; Chordata; Mammalia; Rodentia; Bathyergidae. The record is from RNAcentral.
GCGGGCGCCCCGCGCAGGGAAACCUGGCGGGCAGGCGGGCGGGCAGGGAAGGAAGAGGCGGUCCCGGGCUCCCACCGCGGGGCCCCACCGCCCGGCCUUCGCCCGCACCCCCAGGGCAGAAAGCUCAUUCUCAGGCCUCAAACAAAAGCCAGCUCUGAUCUAAGAGGACUGCGGGAAAUGCCCGCGGAACUUCACCAAACACUGGGUUCCCGGAAGGUAUGGAUCGUCCACUCAACGCUGCGCCAGUGACUCUUCCACACUGCCAAGUCAUUUUGCUGAGAUGUUCCAAGGACAUCAGAAACCUCUGCACCAGAGCUGACCUUCUGUCGAUUCCAUUCAAGACUUUGUUCUCACAGUUCUUAUGUUUACAACAAGUGUCUUUUCUUGGCUCCCUCAGUGUUCCUAAAUCAGUUCAAAAUGUUUAUAGCAAUUUCUGUCAAAUGAAAACUUUACGGUGUGUCCUUAUCUACUUUAGUCACCAUAUCCAUAAACUUCUGGCUCUUCCCCAAAGUCAAAGGGACCACAAAAGAGAAACAUUUUGCAUCAAUUCAGAACAUCAAGGCAGCCAUAGGACAGUGCAACUAAAGACAUUCAUGACUUAAUUGAAAAAAUGAAAAAGACAUUCAUGAAAGAGGAAUUCCAGAACUACCCCAGAAAGUGGUAAGAGCAAUGAGGAAAUCUGGGCCCCAUCACAUGACUUACUCCAGGAAGUGGGACACAAGCAAGCAUGAUGCGGGCAGAGGUUUCAUAACCUCUUCUCUGAGGCCUCUCUCUCAUCUUUUUCUGUUAGUUUUAAUUUUUGUUUCCUGAUACAGGGUCACAUUAUGUAGUUCAGGCUGGGCUCGAACUCACUAUGUAGCCCAGGCUGGCCUCGAACUAUCGGCGAUCCUCCUCCCUCAGCCUCCUGAGUGUUGGAAUUACAAGUAUGUACCAUCAUGUAUGCCUGGCUCCUUCACCCUUUUGAAACUCAUAUUCCAAGUUGUGAAGAAAUCUAACAACCAUAGGAGCACGGAGUAGGUGUGAUGAUUCAGGUAUGAGGUGCUGCAGAGCUAUUUUUUAUCCCUAUGGGUCCAGGAGGUCUCUGUGUGGGCUCCAGGGCUGAGGGGCUGGCACAGUGGGUUGGGAGUGCCAUCCCAUGCCGCUCCCACUCCCUUGGGUGUCUUGUGAGUCUCCUUGGGAGCUGCUGCCUGAGUGGAAAUGCAUAGUGGUGAAGAAUGUACUGGAUCCCUGGUCCUCGAGGUGAAGCUGGUGGGACCUGUGGAGGCACUGUGGAUGCUGUAUGCACCCCUGGACUUAGUAGUCUCUAGCGAGGUGGAGAUGCCAACACCGUGUGCAGUGCCCUGGAGGCCGUGUUUAUCCAUGGCCUCUGUGCCAAGCACAUGUGCCAAGGCUGGAAGGAAAGUGCCCACCAGAAGCCUCUGUCUCAGCCUGUCUUCUGGCCUUGACUGAAAGCUGUUGCCCACAGGUGAGAUCAGCUGGAGAGGUUUUCCUUAGAGGGGGUGCUUCCAAGUGUGGGACACUUGGCUCUUUCUCUCCAGACACAAUGUGUUCUAGUGAGGGCCACAGAGUUACAGUUAUCAGCGAGGGGCUUAGGUACCGUCCAGUGGACUCAGGAGCUAGACUGCCUGAGUUGUCCAUUCACCACCUUUCUGACCUUGAAAAGUACCCAUCAUUUCUGACCUUGACUCCUUAUUAGUAAAUGAAGAUAUGAAUUCUUCAAACCAAUGAGGAUUAAAUGAGUCAAAAUAUGGAACAUACGUAGAACAAUCUCUUAG